GAUGAACGCUGGCGGCGUGCUUAACACAUGCAAGUCGAACGAAGCAGAAGGAUGCUUGCAUCCUUUUGACUGAGUGGCGGACGGGUGAGUAACACGUAGAGAACCUACCUUACACAGGGGGACAACGGCUGGAAACGGCUGCUAAUACCGCAUAAGCACCCAGUUUCGCAUGAAACAGAGUGAAAAGAGUAAAUCGGUGUAAGAUGGCUCUGCGUCUGAUUAGCUAGUUGGUGGGGUAAAGGCUCACCAAGGCGACGAUCAGUAGCCGGCCUGAGAGGGCGACCGGCCACAUUGGGACUGAGACACGGCCCAG
RNAcentral lists this ribosomal RNA (313 nucleotides) under uncultured bacterium. RNAcentral describes it as "bacterial SSU rRNA". It matches the Rfam family "Bacterial small subunit ribosomal RNA", at positions 28 to 334 of the family's 1533-position model. The record is from RNAcentral.